Non-coding RNA from Podarcis lilfordi (Lilford's wall lizard), 104 nucleotides. The record is from the annotation of a GenBank genome assembly. NCBI's taxonomy places the organism in Eukaryota, Metazoa, Chordata, Lepidosauria, Squamata, Lacertidae.
UGUCCAGUAGCACCUUAAAGAUCAACUAAGUUUGUUCUGGGUAUAAGCUUUCAUGUGCUUAUAACCAGAACAAACUUAGUUGGUCUCUAAGGUGCUACUGGACA